RNAcentral lists this ribosomal RNA (378 nucleotides) under uncultured eukaryote. RNAcentral describes it as "partial 18S ribosomal RNA". It matches the Rfam family "Eukaryotic small subunit ribosomal RNA", at positions 592 to 976 of the family's 1831-position model. The record is from RNAcentral.
CAAUAGCGUAUAUUUAAGUUGCUGCAGUUAAAAAGCUCGUAGUUGGAUUUCGGGUGGGAAUGGCCGGUCCGCCGUUUCGGUGUGCACUUGCUACGCCCACCUUGCUGCCGGGGACGUGCUCUUGAGUUCACGCUCGGGACACGGAGUCGGCGAGGUUACUUUGAGUAAAUUAGAGUGUUCAAAGCAGGCCUACGCUCUGAAUACAUUAGCAUGGAAUAAUGGAAUAGGACUUUGGUGCCAUUCUGUUGGUUUAUGGAACCGAAGUAAUGAUUAAUAGGGACAGUUGGGGCCGUUUAUAUUUCGUUGUCAGAGGUGAAAUUCUUGGAUUUACGAAAGAUAAACUUCUGCGAAAGCAUUCGGCAAGGAUGUUUUCAUUGA